RNAcentral lists this long non-coding RNA (1227 nucleotides) under Monodelphis domestica (gray short-tailed opossum). RNAcentral describes it as "lncRNA (ENSMODG00000047348.1)". Lineage: Eukaryota; Metazoa; Chordata; Mammalia; Didelphimorphia; Didelphidae. The record is from RNAcentral.
GGAAUUGUGGGAGUCUAAAACUGAAAAUAACUGAACUUCACUUCCUUCUUGGAUUUCAUUUGAGCUGGGAGUGGGUUUUGUCUCUGCCUACAAUUUCAAGCUGGAAAAGGAGUUUUGCUCUAAGAGACACUUCCUGGAAAGUCAGGAAGAAAAUCUUUGGCAUCUAGGUAGCGUAUUUACUUGGAGAAAACUAAUUUCUCUUAGUCCAGUCUUCAUCUCCCAGUGGUCAAUCUACGAAAAUUCCUAUUGGCUAAGGUAAUCCAAAGGUUUUCAUCUAUAACUUUAGUUACUUAGUUCAGCAGCCAAACCCAGGAGUUUUCCCCUUUCUUUCUUUAUUAAUUACUGGUGGGAAGAUUAGGGUCAGUCAGAUAGCCUGGGAAAGGGUGUUAGAUAGCAUGAGGAGAUGUAGGUAGGAGCCAAAGAAUAACAGAAGGCUCUCCUUUCACAUGGGAACUUAAGAGCUGGGUGGAGAUAGCCAGAAGAGUGUCAGGGUCAUAUCUACCAGUUCCCCUUAUCCCUUCUGUUAAAAUAAACUUUGUUUUAUAAUCAGAGGGUCUGGUGUUAAAUUGGCCCCAAAGAGUUCAUAGGUGGGUUAUAAUAUCUUAUAUCCCUCUAGGAUACUUCCCCAUUACAAUAUCAUUUUACAAGAAAUUAUCCCAGAAAACUGCCCUGAUAUUCUUGAGCAAGAGGGCAAAAUAGACAUUGAAAGAAUCCAUAAAUCAAUCUCUACAUUAAAUUCUCAAAAGAGAACUCCCAGGAAUGUAAUUGUCAAAUUCAUAAGCUUCCAAGCUAAGGAGAAAAAUAUUGCAAGAAGUCAGAAAAAGAAAAUUCAGAUAUCAAGGAUAACCAAUCAGGGUUACACAGGAUCUGGCAGCCUCUACACUAAAGGACCACAAGGCUUGGAAUAUGAUAUUCAGAAAGAGAACAAGGGAAGUUAAAAAUGAAGGUCUGAGAAAAGCUGAAGACAGAGAAUGAGGAUGAGCAAAAACUUUCUUGGGAGAGCUGUUCUAACUCUGUAUUGUGAAAAGUCAUCAUGAAGAGCAUUCCAAGAGAAUUCCAGAAAGAGACUAGAGUUUUGACUUGAGAGAAACUGUAGAGAAAACAAAUAUGAUGAGCAAAAACUUUCUUUUUUUCUGAUGGAACUGAUUUAAUCUAUCUUGUAUAGAUGAUGAAGAGAAUUCUUGAGAAGAAAAUAAACUGAAGUAAAUUGAACUAGGUAAAACUUUG